GAUGAACGCUGGCGGCGUGCCUAACACAUGCAAGUCGAGCGAACCCUUCGGGGUGAGCGGCGGACGGGUGAGUAACGCGUGGGUAACCUGCCCUGUACACACGGAUAACAUACCGAAAGGUAUGCUAAUACGGGAUAACAUAUGAGAGUCGCAUGGCUUUUGUAUCAAAGCUCCGGCGGUACAGGAUGGACCCGCGUCUGAUUAGCUAGUUGGUAAGGUAACGGCUUACCAAGGCAACGAUCAGUAGCCGACCUGAGAGGGUGAUCGGCCACAUUGGAACUGAGACACGGUCCAAACUCCUACGGGAGGCAGCAGUGGGGAAUAUUGCACAAUGGGCGAAAGCCUAAUGCAGCAACGCCGCGUGAGCGAUGAAGGCCUUCGGGUCGUAAAGCUCUGUCCUCAAGGAAGAUAAUGACGGUACUUGAGGAGGAAGCCCCGGCUAACUACGUGCCAGCAGCCGCGGGAAUACGUAGGGGGCUAGCGUUAUCCGGAAUUACUGGGCGUAAAGGGUGCGUAGGCGGUCUUUCAAGCCAGAAGUGAAAGGCUACGGCUCAACCGUAGUAAGCUUUUGGAACUGUAGGACUUGAGUGCAGGAGAGGAGAGUGGAAUUCCUAGUGUAGCGGUGAAAUGCGUAGAUAUUAGGAGGAACACCAGUAGCGAAGGCGGCUCUCUGGACUGUAACUGACGCUGAGGCACGAAAGCGUGGGGAGCAAACAGGAUUAGAUACCCUGGUAGUCCACGCCGUAAACGAUGAGUACUAGGUGUCGGGGGUUACCCCCCUCGGUGCCGCAGCUAACGCAUUAAGUACUCCGCCCUGGGAAGUACGCUCGCAAGAGUGAAACUCAAAGGAAUUUGACGGGGACCCGCACAAGUAGCGGAGCAUGUGGUUUAAUUCGAAAGCAACGCGAAGAACCUUACCUAAGCUUGACAUCCCAUUGACCUCUCCCUAAUCGGAGAUUUCCCUUCGGGGACAAUGGUGACAGGUGGUGCAUGGUUGUCGUCAGCUCGUGUCGUGAGAUGUUGGGUUAAGUCCCGCAACGAGCGCAACCCUUGCCUUUAGUUGCCAGCAUUAAGUUGGGCACUCUAGAGGGACUGCCGAGGAUAACUCGGAGGAAGGUGGGGAUGACGUCAAAUCAUCAUGCCCCUUAUGCUUAGGGCUACACACGUGCUACAAUGGGUGGUACAGAGGGUUGCCAAGCCGUGAGGUGGAGCUAAUCCCUUAAAACCAUUCUCAGUUCGGAUUGUAGGCUGAAACUCGCCUACAUGAAGCUGGAGUUACUAGUAAUCGCAGAUCAGAAUGCUGCGGUGAAUGCGUUCCCGGGUCU
Molecule: ribosomal RNA, 1325 nt
Filed under: uncultured bacterium
Lineage: Bacteria
Description: partial 16S ribosomal RNA
Rfam family: Bacterial small subunit ribosomal RNA
Source: RNAcentral